RNAcentral lists this ribosomal RNA (253 nucleotides) under uncultured bacterium. RNAcentral describes it as "partial 16S ribosomal RNA". It matches the Rfam family "Bacterial small subunit ribosomal RNA", at positions 524 to 776 of the family's 1533-position model. The record is from RNAcentral.
UACGUAGGGUGCGAGCGUUGUCCGGAAUUAUUGGGCGUAAAGAGCUCGUAGGCGGUCUGUCGCGUCGGAUGUGAAAACUCGGGGCUCAACCCCGAGCCUGCAUUCGAUACGGGCAGACUAGAGUUCGGUAGGGGAGACUGGAAUUCCUGGUGUAGCGGUGAAAUGCGCAGAUAUCAGGAGGAACACCAAUGGCGAAGGCAGCUCACUGGGACGGUAUUGACGCUGAGACGCGAAAGCGUGGGGAGCAAACAGG